RNAcentral lists this ribosomal RNA (378 nucleotides) under uncultured eukaryote. Its description in RNAcentral is "partial 18S ribosomal RNA". It matches the Rfam family "Eukaryotic small subunit ribosomal RNA", at positions 592 to 976 of the family's 1831-position model. The record is from RNAcentral.
CAAUAGCGUAUAUUAAAGUUGUUGCGGUAAAAAAGCUCGUAGUUGGAUUUCUGUUGAGAGCGACCGGUCCAUACCAUGUAUGCGUAUCUGGCUUGCUCUCGGCAUCCUCUCGAUAGACGUUACUGCGCUUGAUUGCGUGGUGCGGAUCUCGGGACUUUUACUUUGAGGAAAUUAGAGUGUUCACGGCAGGCUUUCGCCAGAAUACAUUAGCAUGGAAUAAUACUAUAGGAUCUUGGUUCUAUUUUGUUGGUUUCUAGAAUUGAGAUAAUGAUUAAUAGGGACAAUUGGGGCAUUCGUAUCAACACGUCAGAGGUGGAAUUCUUGGAUUGUGUUGCGACGAACUACUGCGAAAGCAUUUGCCAAGGAUGUUUUCAUUGA